GUAUUGGGGUGGGCAAAAAGUUCAUUCAUGUCUUUACAUAAGAUGGUGUGGAAAAACCUGAACGAACUUUUUGGCCAACCCAAUA
RNAcentral lists this microRNA precursor (85 nucleotides) under Ovis aries (sheep). Its description in RNAcentral is "miRNA (ENSOARG00000021211.1)". The record is from RNAcentral. Lineage: Eukaryota; Metazoa; Chordata; Mammalia; Artiodactyla; Bovidae.